Molecule: ribosomal RNA, 465 nt
Filed under: uncultured bacterium
Lineage: Bacteria
Description: partial 16S ribosomal RNA
Rfam family: Bacterial small subunit ribosomal RNA
Source: RNAcentral
GACGAACGCUGGCGGCGUGCUUAACACAUGCAAGUCGAACGGUGAACUCCGCUUGCGGGGGGAUCAGUGGCGAACGGGUGAGUAACACGUGGGCAACCUGCCCUCAGCUCUGGGAUAACUCCAAGAAAUUGGGGCUAAUACCGGAUAUGACCGCUGACCGCAUGGUCUGGUGGUGGAAAGAUUUAUCGGCUGGGGAUGGGCCCGCGGCCUAUCAGCUUGUUGGUGGGGUAGUGGCCUACCAAGCCGACGACGGGUAGCCGGCCUGAGAGGGUGACCGGCCACACUGGGACUGCGAGACGGCCCAGACUCCUACGGGAGGCAGCAGUGGGGAAUAUUGCGCAAUGGGCGAAAGCCUGACGCAGCGACGCCGCGUGGGGGAUGACGGCCUUCGGGUUGUAAACCUCUUUCAGCGGGGACGAAGCGAAAGUGACGGUACCUGCAGAAGAAGCACCGGCCAACUACGUG